This 408-nucleotide ribosomal RNA is filed under the name uncultured bacterium. RNAcentral's name for it is "partial 16S ribosomal RNA". It matches the Rfam family "Bacterial small subunit ribosomal RNA", at positions 28 to 526 of the family's 1533-position model. The record is from RNAcentral.
GAUGAACGCUGGCGGCGUGCUUAACACAUGCAAGUCGAACGAAGUGGCGAACCGGUGAGUAACGCGUAAUCAACCUGCCCUUCAGAGGGGGACAACAGUUGGAAACGACUGCUAAUACCGCAUACUGAAGGAGGGGAUGGCGUCGGAUUAGCUAGCGGGAGGGGGAACGGCCCACCAAGGCGAAGAUCAGUAGCCUGUCUGAGGGGAUGAACGGCCACAUUGGGACUGAGCCACGGCCCAGACUCCUGAGGGAGGCUGCAGUGGGGAAUCUUCCGCAAUGGAGGAAAGUCUGACGGAGCAACGCCGCGUGGGUGAUGACGGCCUUCGGGUUGUAGAGCUCUGUUGAUCGGGACGCGGUACCUGAAUAGAAGGCCACGGCUAACUACGUGCCAGCCGCCGCGGUAAUUC